CAGCUGACACUGAUGCACACAAGUCUGAGAGCCUGAUGAGGACCUGGACUGACAUCCCAGCUCUUCUCAUCUGCCUGAUCUUCUGCAUUAUUCUCACCUCUCUCAAACUCUACAGCAGUCUCUGGACUCUGGUGAGAAAAGGACACCUCCCUGUGACCGCCUCCUCAGGCAGCCAUCAGCUCCACCCCAGGAGAAGCUUGCCUUGGUUCGUGACCUGAUCACUGUUGUCUGAGUUCAUGGAAGACUUGCUUCACACUGGAGAGGAUCAAGAGGCACACAGAGUUAGUGACAACGCCAUGAGCCACAAGAGGAUGAGGAUCAGGAUUCAAACGAGGCACAAGAAGAACCCGGGGAACUCGUGGACCCUCCUGCUCCUAUCCUAGGCAGUAUGUGCCAGAGAAGGACCCCCACACCGUGCACCAGUGGUUCCACUCAGCUACGUGAGCAGCAGAAAUGCCUCAACAGGUUCACCAUGCCAAGGACAUCUCACACCAACAAUACUUGGCACUUCUCCAAACAGGAAACAACAAAGAAUGAAUAUCAUAAAAUAAACAAAAUGCAUUAUAUAUCUUUAAAUGGAAUAUAAUACA
This is a long non-coding RNA of Marmota flaviventris (yellow-bellied marmot), 590 nucleotides long. RefSeq lists it as uncharacterized. The record is from RefSeq and is a predicted model, not a curated record. Lineage: Eukaryota; Metazoa; Chordata; Mammalia; Rodentia; Sciuridae.